RNAcentral lists this transfer RNA (72 nucleotides) under Pseudobdellovibrionaceae bacterium. RNAcentral describes it as "Bdellovibrionaceae bacterium tRNA-Thr". It matches the Rfam family "tRNA". From Rfam's summary of the family: Transfer RNA (tRNA) molecules are approximately 80 nucleotides in length. Their secondary structure includes four short double-helical elements and three loops (D, anti-codon, and T loops). Further hydrogen bonds mediate the characteristic L-shaped molecular structure. tRNAs have two regions of fundamental functional importance: the anti-codon, which is responsible for specific mRNA codon recognition, and the 3' end, to which the tRNAs corresponding amino acid is attached (by aminoacyl-tRNA synthetases). tRNAs cope with the degeneracy of the genetic code in two manners: having more than one tRNA (with a specific anti-codon) for a particular amino acid; and 'wobble' base-pairing, i.e. permitting non-standard base-pairing at the 3rd anti-codon position. Lineage: Bacteria; Pseudomonadati; Bdellovibrionota; Bdellovibrionia; Bdellovibrionales; Pseudobdellovibrionaceae. The record is from RNAcentral.
GCCGAAAUAGCACAGCGGUAGUGCGUUGGUCUUGUAAACCAAAGGUCCGGAGUUCGAAUCUCCGUUUCGGCU